This 247-nucleotide long non-coding RNA is filed under the name Panax ginseng (ginseng). RNAcentral describes it as "long non-coding RNA (PGIN_LNC014267)". Lineage: Eukaryota; Viridiplantae; Streptophyta; Magnoliopsida; Apiales; Araliaceae. The record is from RNAcentral.
CAAAGAUGAAUGAUUUCUGAUGAAUAUCUUUGGCCCGUAGUGCAAAGAUGAACAGGUGUUUAGAUGAACAUGACCAACUGAUGAAUAUCUUUGGCCUGUAGUGCAAAGAUGAAUAUUUGAUUCCAGAGAUUUCUGUGAUUGAUGUUACAGGGAUAAAAGAUAGACGAUGAACUUUAAAUUCAUACAUAGAAGAUAGUAGUUUGCAUUCUCUACUUAACUCUUCUAAUGAAUUAUUAUUUCCGCUGCG